CAGUAAGGGCUCUUCUGGGUCCCUCGUUUCCAAAGGCAUGAAAGUUAUGACCUGAAAAUGGGGGCCGGGGGGGGGGGGCGGUGGUGUCACAACCAUAUAACGCAGCUCCUUCAGCCGACUCCCACCCGCAAGACCUGAGACCUGACGGAUAAAAGCAGAGAGGAGUCAGAGUGAGCGCCGCGUUUGGGAAACUGCAUUCCAGGGCAGCAAGACCGGUGCCAAGACGGAGUCGUGGCAAAAGCAUCCGGAGGUCUUCCUUAAUAUAUGUCAGCAGUGGAGUGGUGUGCUUAAGGAGAGAGAGACUUGGAAAAAUACAGACCGAGAACAAGGCCAUGUGGAGAUAGAGGCAGAGACUGAAGUUGUGCCACCAAAGGCAAAGAAUAUCAAGUAUUGUCAGUAACCACAGGAAGCUGGAAGAGGCCAAGAAAGAUUUUUCUUAGAGACCUUGGAAGGAGCCUGACCCUGGAACACCUUGAUUUUAGACUUCUGGCCCCAAAAACUGUGAAAGAAUAAAUUUCUGUUGUUUUAAGCAA
This 533-nucleotide non-coding RNA is filed under the name Pongo abelii (Sumatran orangutan). Lineage: Eukaryota; Metazoa; Chordata; Mammalia; Primates; Hominidae. The record is from RNAcentral.